This 593-nucleotide long non-coding RNA is filed under the name Chinchilla lanigera (long-tailed chinchilla). Its description in RNAcentral is "lncRNA (ENSCLAG00000027606.1)". Lineage: Eukaryota; Metazoa; Chordata; Mammalia; Rodentia; Chinchillidae. The record is from RNAcentral.
CGUGGAAACGCGGACGGGAUUGCGAGGCGCGAGCCUCACCCUCCUGUCCGAGAAAGGGGGUAGCGGUGUCGGGGGCGCGGUGUCUGCACCCUAGAACGAAAUACUUCGCCGCCCGGUUGUGACGUCCUCGCACGGCGCUUGCGUGUGAUCCGCACACGCCUUCCUUUAUCUCCGGCCAUGAACAUCACCUGUGCCUGUGUGGUUAGUCUGUGGAAUUCUGCUUCUGCUGUUGUGGUAAUUAACCAUUACUGUUUAUUGAAGCUUUAGUUUAUAGAAAAUGUUGUUGUAAGUUGUUUGUCUACAUCAAUACCCAUGCUAACGGCUGGAUGUUAUUGGGCAUUUGUGCUCUAAAUAGUUUGCAGACUCUUACCAGAUUUCUCAGAGAGCCCGAUAGUCACUUUCAAUAACCAUCUGUUGGUGAGCUAAGGAGGCUGAGACCCCAGCCCCUUCAUUUAGAUGUAUAGUAUGCUUAUAGCUGAUAGAUCAGACAGAUUCAGCCUGAUAGGUCAGAGUGAAGGGGAAUCUACAUUUGCCAUUUCUUAAUCACAUUUUCUGUCAGUUAGUUUUAGGUACAUUCACUUACCUAAGAGCUA